This 711-nucleotide long non-coding RNA is filed under the name Lynx pardinus (Iberian lynx). Lineage: Eukaryota; Metazoa; Chordata; Mammalia; Carnivora; Felidae. The record is from RNAcentral.
GAGGAAGGAGCCAGAUAACAAAAUGAACUAUCACCUUCAAUUUAGGUUCUCCUGUCUCUUCCAUUCAUCCACCCCCCCCCCGCCGACCUUCUCCAAAUGUCUCCCCUCUCUUAAUUCAGCACCUCUGAAAAGUCAGAUUCCCAGUACUCACUCUGAUCCAUCUCCCUCCUUCUUCUGUCUUCCAAGGCUCUCCAACUAAUCAGUAUUCAGAUUCCAGAUCUAAUUGCAUCUCUGAGCAUUUACAGACAUCCUCCUAGAAUCUUUUCUCCCAUCCUGAGUCGGUAGGGUGGGGCUGCCGUUUCCUCCUCCUCCUAGGACUCCUCCUGCUCUUAAUUUCCCCGUUGUUCCGGGUGCAUCUUCACAUAAGGAAAAGAGCUUCUGCCCUAAGCCUUUUUAAAAAUUGCUGAGGGAUUUGUUUCUGUGGCCUCCUUUUUAAGCUGAGAAGACUCAAGUGAUAUGAAAGGCAAAGUUUGGUUUGGAUCUGUCCCUUUGCACCUCUGUCACUUCAAGUCUUGGGACCCAAUUCACUCUAAGCCCACUCAGUCUGGUGUCAGGCACUGCCAGAUAGUCAGUGUCCAGAUGGGGAUGGGUAAGGAACAGAGCUGCCUGCAGAAAGGUCAUUAACCAAUGGUCCCGAAAACGGGUUUGAACAGUCCAUUAGGACCCAGAGAACUUCACAUCUUAAAAAACGAAGCAUAUUGACAUGGUGAA